ACGGGUGAGUAACACGUGGUCAACCUUCCCUACAGUGGGGGAUAACUAGCCGAAAGGUUAGCUAAUACCGCAUAACAUCUACGAGCGGCAUCGUUUGUAGAUCAAAGGAGCAAUCCGCUGAAGGACGGGACCGCGUCCCAUUAGUUAGUUGGUGGGGUAAUGGCCUACCAAGACUCCGAUGGGUAGCUGGUUUGAGAGAGCGACCAGCCACACUGGGACUGAGAAACGGCCCAG
RNAcentral lists this ribosomal RNA (234 nucleotides) under uncultured bacterium. RNAcentral's name for it is "partial 16S ribosomal RNA". It matches the Rfam family "Bacterial small subunit ribosomal RNA", at positions 102 to 334 of the family's 1533-position model. The record is from RNAcentral.